RNAcentral lists this ribosomal RNA (255 nucleotides) under uncultured bacterium. RNAcentral describes it as "partial 16S ribosomal RNA". It matches the Rfam family "Bacterial small subunit ribosomal RNA", at positions 524 to 776 of the family's 1533-position model. The record is from RNAcentral.
UACGAAGGGUGCGAGCGUUGUUCGGAAUUAUUGGGCGUACAGCGCACGUAGGCGGUUGGGUAAGUCUGUUUGUGAAAGCCUGGGGCCCAACCCCAUGGACUGCAGGGGAUACUGCCCGACUGGAGACAAGCAGAGGUUGGUAGAAUUCCGGGUGUAGCGGUGGAAUGCGUAGAGAUGCGGAGGAAUACCAGAGGCGAAGGCGGCCAACUGGGCUUGUUCUGACGCUGAGGUGCGAAAGCGUGGGGAGCGAACAGG